GACGAACGCUGGCGGCGUGCUUAACACAUGCAAGUCGAACGAAGUGGCGAACGGGUGAGUAACACGUGAGUAACUGCCCUUGACUCUGGGAUAACCUCCGGAAACGGAAGCUAAUACCGGAUAAGGAUGGACUCGCGGCCUAUCAGGUAGUUGGUGAGGUAACGGCCCACCAAGCCUACGACGGGUAGCCGGCCUGAGAGGGGACCGGCCACACUGGGCUGAGACACGGCCCAGACUCCUACGGGAGGCAGCAGUGGGGAAUAUUGCACAAUGGGCGCAAGCCUGAUGCAGCAACGCCGCGUGAGGGAUGACGGCCUUCGGGUUGUAAACCUCUUUUAGUAGGGAAGCGGUACCUGCAGAAAAAGCACCGGCUAACUACGUGCCAGCAGCCGCGGUAAUACGUAGGGUGCGAGCGUUGUCCGGAAUUAUUGGGCGUAAAGAGCUUGUAGGCGGUCUGUCGCGUCUGCUGUGAAAACCCGAGGCUCAACCUCGGGCCUGCAGUGGGUACGGGCAGACUAGAGUGCGGUAGGGGAGAAUGGAAUUCCUGGUGUAGCGGUGGAAUGCGCAGAUAUUAGGAGGAACACCGAUGGCGAAAGCAGUUCUCUGGGCCGUAACCGACGCUGAGGGGCGAAAGGUGGGGAGCGAACAGGAUUAGAUACCCUGGUAGUCCACGCCGUAAACGUUGGGCGCUAGAUGUGGGGCCGUGUCGCAGCU
RNAcentral lists this ribosomal RNA (714 nucleotides) under uncultured bacterium. RNAcentral's name for it is "bacterial SSU rRNA". It matches the Rfam family "Bacterial small subunit ribosomal RNA", at positions 28 to 840 of the family's 1533-position model. The record is from RNAcentral.